Molecule: ribosomal RNA, 497 nt
Filed under: uncultured bacterium
Lineage: Bacteria
Description: partial 16S ribosomal RNA
Rfam family: Bacterial small subunit ribosomal RNA
Source: RNAcentral
GAUGAACGCUGGCGGCGUGCCUAAUACAUGCAAGUCGAGCGAACAGACGAGGAGCUUGCUCCUCUGACGUUAGCGGCGGACGGGUGGGUAACACGUGGAUAACCUACCUAUAAGACUGGGAUAACUUCGGGAAACCGGAGCUAAUACCGGAUAAUAUAUUGAACCGCAUGGUUCAAUAGUGAAAGACGGUUUUGCUGUCACUUAUAGAUGGAUCCGCGCCGCAUUAGCUAGUUGGUAAGGUAACGGCCUACCAAGGCAACGAUGCGUAGCCGACCUGAGAGGGUGAUCGGCCACACUGGAACUGAGACACGGUCCAGACUCCUACGGGAGGCAGCAGUAGGGAAUCUUCCGCAAUGGGCGAAAGCUUGACGGAGCAACGCCGCGUGAGUGAUGAAGGUCUUCGGAUCGUAAAACUCUGUUAUUAGGGAAGGACAAAUGUGUAAGUAACUAUGCACGUCUUGACGGUACCUAAUCAGAAAGCCACGGCUAACUACGUG